Molecule: unclassified non-coding RNA, 240 nt
Filed under: air metagenome
Description: partial contains small subunit ribosomal RNA, internal transcribed spacer 1, and 5.8S ribosomal RNA
Rfam family: Eukaryotic small subunit ribosomal RNA (bases 1-46)
Source: RNAcentral
AAGUCGUAACAAGGUCUCCGUAGGUGAACCUGCGGAGGGAUCAUUACCGAGUGAGGGCCCUCGCGGCCCGACCUCCCACCCUUUGUCGUCUUGACCCGUUGCCUCGGGGGUUGCCCGGCCGCCUCUGGCGGCGCUGGGCGCCCCCGGUGGAUCAUCAACGCUGCUUGCUUGCGUCGGAGUCGCGUCCUCGGACGCUCAGAAAUGAAAUCAAAACUUUCAACAACGGAUCUCUUGGUUCUG